UAAUACAGAGGUCCCAAGCGUUGUUCGGAUUCACUGGGCGUAAAGGGUGAGUAGGUGGUGGAUUAAGUCGGGUGUGAAAUCUCCGGGCUCAACCCGGAGCGUGCGCCCGAAACUGAUUCGCUAGAGGAUGGGAGGGGAGACUGGAAUUCUCGGUGUAGCAGUGAAAUGCGUAGAUAUCGAGAGGAACACCGGUGGCGAAGGCGAGUCUCUGGACCAUUCCUGACACUGAAUCACGAAAGCCGGGGGAGCAAACGGG
This 256-nucleotide ribosomal RNA is filed under the name uncultured archaeon. Its description in RNAcentral is "partial 16S ribosomal RNA". It matches the Rfam family "Bacterial small subunit ribosomal RNA", at positions 521 to 776 of the family's 1533-position model. The record is from RNAcentral.